This is a non-coding RNA of Cinara cedri, 244 nucleotides long. The record is from the annotation of a GenBank genome assembly. Lineage: Eukaryota; Metazoa; Arthropoda; Insecta; Hemiptera; Aphididae.
UAUAAAAAAAACACAUGCACGCACUUUAUACUUCGAUGACUUCACAUCGUCGUCGUAUCCUAUUGUCUUUGACUUCGCUGUCGUUUUAUCUUCUGUUACAGCCGGCCUUGUAUACUCGGGGAGCGGGAAGGACGUUGGGGGUUAUAUUCUCCCCUCCCCCCGUUCGCUUAAAACUACAACGGCCACAAGUAUUUAUUUAGUAAUUUGACUGCGGUAUUAUGCGUACAACAUGUCCGCUGACACU